This 253-nucleotide ribosomal RNA is filed under the name uncultured bacterium. Its description in RNAcentral is "partial 16S ribosomal RNA". It matches the Rfam family "Bacterial small subunit ribosomal RNA", at positions 524 to 776 of the family's 1533-position model. The record is from RNAcentral.
UACGAAGGGGGCUAGCGUUGCUCGGAAUUACUGGGCGUAAAGGGCGCGUAGGCGGCGCAUUUAGUCAGGCGUGAAAGCCCCGGGCUCAACCUGGGAACCGCGCUUGAGACUGGAGAACUAGAGUUCGGGAGAGGAUGGUGGAAUUCCCAGUGUAGAGGUGAAAUUCGUAGAUAUUGGGAAGAACACCGAUGGCGAAGGCAGCCAUCUGGACCGACACUGACGCUGAGGCGCGAAAGCGUGGGGAGCAAACAGG